CAGAUCAGAAGAAAAUUGGGGAUUCUUGACGGCGGUGUCAUUUUUUUUCCAGUUGGAGCUGGGCAGAUCGGAAGAAAAUUGGGGAUUCUUGACAGUGGGUGUUUGGCGGAUAUAGACAAGGGGGCGAGGGUGGCUGAUGUCGGCGACUUCGCCGGAGGAAGGAGACGGUGGAUGAGAGGUGAAGAAGAAGGUGAAAUGAGGAAGAAAGUAACUUAAUUAACUCAAUAAUUUUGGUAGGCCCCACUCAAUUAAAACAUAACACUCAAUUUCUUAAUCUUCGUGCCGAAAAGAAAGUGGCCACUAAUAUUG
Molecule: long non-coding RNA, 309 nt
Filed under: Salvia miltiorrhiza (redroot sage)
Lineage: Eukaryota; Viridiplantae; Streptophyta; Magnoliopsida; Lamiales; Lamiaceae
Description: long non-coding RNA (SMIL_LNC011375)
Source: RNAcentral